Xiphophorus couchianus (Monterrey platyfish) is the source of this 353-nucleotide long non-coding RNA. RefSeq lists it as uncharacterized. Lineage: Eukaryota; Metazoa; Chordata; Actinopteri; Cyprinodontiformes; Poeciliidae. The transcript is spliced from 2 exons. The record is from RefSeq and is a predicted model, not a curated record.
AGUGUUAGUGACGGAUUAAACAACCAAUAGCUGACACAGUCUGAUUUCACAUCAGCCAACAAGAUUGAUUGUCCCGCCCAUUUCAACUGCUGUGCUGAGAUUUUGCUCAGACACGAUUGAAAGCUAACAGCUGACGGUUGCUUCCGUGAAGAGCUUGUCGAAAUUUGAUGAAUCUGGAAAUCGGUCAGGUUUUUAUUUUUUUCAUGUUAUGGUGCAAUUUUUGGCCUGUGGUGCUCAGAGACCCGAUGAUCAUCCUCAUCUGAACUUGGAUGGCGAGCCCCAGCCCAGAGAAUCAAGAGAACCAGUAGACAGUGACAAUUGUUGUUAUAUUAAAUUAUAUUCUUUCUUAUAAA